Long non-coding RNA from Colossoma macropomum (tambaqui), 1218 nucleotides. RefSeq lists it as uncharacterized. The record is from RefSeq and is a predicted model, not a curated record. The transcript is spliced from 3 exons. Lineage: Eukaryota; Metazoa; Chordata; Actinopteri; Characiformes; Serrasalmidae.
CUUGUAAAAGCUGCUAAAAUCUUCAGUAGCGUCCAUUUUGUGGAGAGAGGAUCAAAACAACAUUUGGAGAGAAAACAGAGAGAAUUACUGAAGUUAUAGUUACCAGAAUUUACUGACUGACUUAAGGAUUAAAGGCAUUUUAGAGGUGAAGAGGGCAAAAAACCUAAUAGAGCAACUUCGGGAUUUGUAGACUUUACUGUCAGCGUGUGAUUUCAGGAUUCAGACCUCCAAAAUGAGUCUCUCUGAGGAACAGGACACACAGGAAGCUGAGAGGCUGAAUCAGGGUAAGAGAUCAGACCCACCUGAACCCAGCUGUGUGUCCAUGAAGAGAAACUGGUCGAAGGGUGAAUUAAUGCACUUCAGAGGUGAUGCCAGUUCUACUGAGUUCAGUUCUAAAUGCAGCUACAUGAGGGCACAGAGACUCCUCUGAACUCCUGACCUGCUUACUGUGGAGCAGUUGUGGGGAAAUCUGGAAGUGCGAGCCGGUUCUCGACGACCAGACGUUCUCCUCAGCUCAUUUAUCAGUCAAUGAUUUUAACUUUCUGUACUUUUUGUAGUUUCAUGGCCAAAGUUAACCCAUAGUUUCAUUGUUUUGGUGCAAUGGAUAUAUUUUAAUAACAACUAUUUAUAAGUAGUGUUGAUGUCUGAAUUAUUUAUAGUGUAAAUAGUAAGUUGUAGUUCUACUGUAAUGUUCGUAUUUACUUGUUUGAUAUAUUACACUGAUUAUUUUAAAUCUUGGCUGAAGCGGAACAUUUAACCCUUUAAUGUUCUGCUCAACCAUUUGGUAGAGCACAUUUUGAGUCACUAUAUGUGCCACAAAGUGCCAUCUCAACCGUUUGGUAGACAUGAAUAUUUUUAAAAUUGUGGGGUCAAAAAAACGAAAAAAAGCACCAACUGUUUUUAUUAUUGCCCCAAACAAAUAAAAAAUACAAAAUAUGAAAGUCCAUUGCUUUUUUCUUGGUGAGGACAUUAAAGGGUUAAGUUAAACACUGCCAGCUUUCACUUUCAGCUGUGUACAAAUCAGUUCCAGAGAAAAUAACAUUGUUAUUGCUUGUAAGUGGUGUUUUUUCUGUACCUCAACCAAAUGACAACUUAGCUUAAAUGUGUAGCUUCAUACUGCUUUCAAGAGGUUUAUUUCAAAGUUUAUUGCUUUGUUUUAUUUUACAUGAAGACAAAUAUGUGAAUAGGUUUUAUGUGUAUUAAUGUCUGUGUGUCAUA